GAUUAAUUCAUUUGUUAUUUAAAGGUUUUUAUGGCUUAUUUUUUAUGGUCGCUGAUUUGAUUUCUUAAGCAUUUGCUGAAUUUCUUAAUUACUUGAAAGUAUUUAUUGGCAAGUCCUUUAAUUUCUCAAUGCAAACUGCAGUUGAACGCCACCUUAACAUACAUAAAUUAAAUCAGUGGCAUUUUUAACGCCAUUCGCAACACAACGCGGCAAAGGAAGCUCGAAUCUCGGUGCUUACGACUAUCAAAUUAAAUUGCGUUGUUUUCUUUCUUGCUUUUUAUUAUUUUGCUGUUUUUGUUGUUAUUUUUUUUUGUGAUUGCCCCAAUAUUGAUAUGCCAUCCGCGGGCCUGGCCGAGAGUGUGCUUUAAAAUGAACAACAACAUUCGAUGCGGCCAGCAUUGCUGUGUACUUUGGUAAAGCGCAUUAUGGCAUUCGCAUUACGUUGCCCGGCCGCUUAUCAAGGACCACUUAAAAUCCUCACCAGCUACCCAACCACGUCGAAUCAACCUGCAGCUGACUUGUCCAGUCGAUCUCGUUCACUUGUUUUUGGGUGGUGCCAAUGACGCUGCAAUUUCGUGCGGUUGCGCCCGUUCGAGGGGUGCGGGCUGGAGCGGAAGCUCUCAGAACUGGACUGGACUGACAGCAGCAUUUGGGGUAUGGACUGGAGUCUGUGGUCGGUGCCGGUCAAUGGCAAUAAAAUGUUUCAUCAUUAAAAAACCAACGUGAGAGCGCCAAAAAGGAAAAAUGUUAAUUUCGUAUGAAAACAAAAACAAGAACAACAACGGACCAAAAUAAUAGCAAGUGAAAUGUGUUUGUUUUUUUUCUUGUCUUUAUAUAUAUAUUGAGAAUGAUGAUGAUGUUGAGAAUGAUGUGAAUGUGGUUGUGGAUGAAGAUGGGUCUCUCCUGAUGUGUGCGAGUGCGUGUGUGUGCAUGUGUGUGUUAAGUGCGUACAUAAAGGUGUGGGCCCUUGAAUAUGUGUCUUUGUGUGUAUGUAUCCGCAAUAAUUAGUUGCAUGGUGACCCAUUUAAAUUUCGGAUUGUGUUGGGAUUCUCCUAUAUUACUUUUUGUUUGAGGUAUAUAGUGGUUGAACUGAGUAAUGCAUAUAAGGAAGACAGAAAAAGAUUUCUCUGAUAUCUUUGGUGUAUUUUUUAUAAGAAUCCAUGAUGUGGUAGUAUUCCUGCUUUGCCAUUGGUCAGCUUUGAUCAUAAAAUAAUCAACUAUUGUUUAUUGUUUUGUAUACUCAACAUUCUUUCUCGCUCUUCAACAAUUUCCUUUUAUCCAAAAUGUCACAUUCGCGCAUAACUUUUGCCAUUAAUUUCAUCCCAAGUGAUGGAUCCUUUCCGUUUCAUUCUCUUUAGUGAAUAAUCCUUUUCCAUUUCUAUCCGAAUGAUGUUUCCAUUCAGCUCAAUUCACUCAUUUACUGCAUAAUACUUUUCCAUAUUAUUAUUAUUAUAUAUAUUUAAAUCACCUUAUUUCUCCGUCUUUUUAUAUUUUCUCAGCUAUCACAUCGCACUCGAUACUCGUAUUUGCUUUAUAUUUCAUUCCUAACUUUUUGCUCAUAAUUUAAGUAAAAGGCACUGAGAAGUUUCUACACAUUAAUUGAUUUCAUCUUGUCAGCGUUUUGUCAAUUAAUUUUCCCCCAAAUGAAGGCUCCUUUCAGUUUCAGUCGGUCCUUUAGUCAAUAAUCCUUUGCCAUUUUUGUGUGCUUGCUCUGGCUGCUUCAGCUUUGAGCUGCUAUGCUUUUAAUUUUCAGCUGAUCUUUUGAUUAAUGCCUAAACGGAUGGUCCUUUUUGCCCAUGCUCGUCUCCUUUAUGCAAAUGGCCGGCACUUUAAUUAGAAAAACUCCGUUUGCUUCGAGGGGAGCAAGAAAAAUGCCGUUCAUUUGGCUACUCCCCUCGGAAAGUUGUCGCCAAGUUUUGCUCAUUAUGCCCAGUUUUUUUUUGUCGCUUUGUUUGUCAUUUAUAAAUUGGAAAAGUUUUCUUAAGCAAAUUAUGCCAUUUUUUUGUUUUCAAGAGCCGAACCCUUUUCGAGUAAAUGUUCGUCUUUGGUUUUAAUCGGGCAAAUGCUUUUCCUCUUGCUGGAAAUUCGUUGCGCUUUGCCAUGCUGCAAGAAUUUAUCUCUAAAUGCAAAGCAGCAUCGAGCUGCGGCAUUUGGCUGGCCGAAAAAAAAUAAAAAACAACUCCAUCUCAACGAAUUCAACUUUAACCGCUGCCAAGACCCUUUCGUCCUUGCAGCAGAGACAAACAAAUUAAAGGGGGAUUAUCAUCAUUUCAUCUUGUUGGCUGACGACUGCCCCUGCUCCGCGUUCCUCUCGUUCUUGUUGAACCCUUUGUGGCCAUCGCCAUCAUGCUCAGCUGACGUUUCUCAAGCGACGACUGCGUCACUUGGUCGCCAGCCAGCCAGCCAUCCAGCCUUCCUGCCUGCUUGCCUGUUUCCUUUCUUCUUCUUGGUUGUUUUUUUUUUUUUUUUGUCAUGUUUUUCCUACUGCGACUCAGAUUUGCCUCCAAUUCGGACCUGGCAGCGGCAUUGAGGUAGGCAAGGGUUAACUACUGCUAACUCCAGCUCCGAGUUCGGGCCCAGCUUCAGGUUCCCAAGCGACGACUUUUGCAUCCGUUCGCUCGGUGCUGGUGCAUUCAACUUUAUGUCUUUGAUUUAUUGUCGCUGCCCCUUUCCGCUGGCAAGGCAAUGAAAGCGAAACAAUGCCUGGUACGGGCAACUGCAGGAGCAGCAAGAAACGAGCCCUUGUUCUUAAGCCAACUGUCUUCCGUAUAGAGGUCUGCUCCGUAAGUAGGUCUAUAGGCUACCGUGGCACUUUCAGUUUUCAGUCAGAGCCGCGUGGGUUUAGCCGUCUGUGAUUGCUUCUGCUUCCUUUUGUCUUCUUGUGAUGUAAUAAAUAUGCGACCCUUUGUCUGCUGCAGAUCGCUAUCCCAACGCCUCUCACUCUCCCUCGUCUCCAUCGCUUGUCUCGUUUCUUGUGGCUGCAUGUGAAAAUAGUAACAUGUGUUGUUCAAGGAAAGGGAAAUGCCAUAAAUACUCGUUGAAAAUCUGUUGAUUGGUGAGCAAAUAAAUUCUUGUCUAUUUUGUGGUCAGCCACGUCCGCACCAGGCUCACAGACGGAGCCACAUAGAUUAUGUAAUAAAGAUACUCGCAGAGGAAACAAGUGCUGCUGCGGGGCGUAUCCAUUGUAAUUAGCCAAGCGAAUGUGGCCUACAGUUUGAGGUUCAUCAGUUUGUUAUUGAAACCUUUUUUGCUGCCUGCUCGAGUCGCCGCCUUUUGCCCGUUUGCUAAUCCAACUCGAAUUCUAAUGGCUACUGCAAAACUUUUGUGUGCGUACGCGUGUGUGUGUGGGUGUGUGCUGCAAAAGUAGACCACAAAAUUGUUGGUAUUGCUAUCAAGCAACCCCACCAACAAGCUCGGCAUUAAACCAAAAGACAGUGCAAACAAAUAACCACACAAAUUGUGACAAGGCUCCCAGCAAAGUUUUUCUGUUUGGGGCGUGCAACGCAUACGCCGUGUUGCCUGCCACAGACUUGAACCAUAAGCACAUCCACUGGCAAAUGAGAAGUUGUUGUUGUUGCUGCUGCUGCUGCUGUAAACGUGAUUGAGCGGCAGCAAUUUGAUUGAUGACUAUUGUUUGUUUCAUUGAACAUAUGCAAUAUGCACAAAAUGGCUUAAAAAGUAUAAACAAAACUUUUAAAAAUGUUGCCAGACAGCAAAGAUAGAUGUGAUUUGUAUAUUGGCAUUUAAUUGGGUCUCACAUAAGUCUGAAAUAAUAUUACUUUAUUUAGCUCAGUAUUUGCAUGCAACACCUGCCCAUUAUAAUUGCAGUUGUUGCUGCCGCAAGUGGGUGUAGCACGACAACAACAAUGCAAUUGCCAAUUGGCGACUGAUGUGAGAAAUGAGAUUCACUCAUUCGCUCGUCGAGUCACUCGAGCACCUGCUCAGCAAUGUUUUCCCCUCAUUUUUCUUGUGUGGGGCCUUAUGCGCAUGUCAGGGUUCUCUGUCCCUGGCUGUGUUUGAGCUUUGAGCGCCUGGCAAAUGUCAACUUCGAUCAGCAGCAGCAGCAGCAGCAGCAGCGGCGGCAGCAACAGCUACAGCUGAGUGAAACCUGCCCGCCCCGUUGUUGCUGCCACACGUAGGUGCAUCCAGGUCCAAAGGAAAUGUCAGUCAGGCGACAAGCCCACAAGCAACAACAACAACAACAGUUGUUGCUGCUGUUGCACCAGGGCUAAUCCUGAGCCAAAACACGUGCAACAGCGGCAACAGCAGCAGCGGCAGCAGCAGCGACUGUGGUGAGUUCACUGAGCGACAAAGCUGCAAGGCGACAAAAGUUCGGGCAACAUGUUGCAGUUGCUGAUUGCUGUUCUUGUUGCUGUUUGUAUGGCUGUUGCUGCUGGCAAAAUUGCAAUUUCACAAACAUAUACACACACAGCCACAUAGAGGGGAACUUGUAUUGGUCUCGGACUCGCUUGACGACGCCAGCAGCAGUGGCAGCAGCGGCAGCAACUGCAAACUGUGCCGCCCGGCCUAUAAGACCAAAGCUGGCGUUGCCGCUGCCGUUGCCGUUGCCGCUUGACGUCGAUUCCGAUUCCGAUUCCGAGUCCGAGUCGCUUUUUAAGCAACCCGCAUUCGCUUUUUGGCUUUCGUGCCGCGCGGCAGCCAAAACCCAGAGAAUUCACCAGAGAACUUUUUGCACGCGUAUUCUUUCGACAUACGUUUAUGGCGUAUCCUAGCGGGUUCAAAAACCAACAAAAUAAAAACAAAUAUAUAUAUAUAUAUAUUACGUACUAUAUAUUGGCAGUGUCUUGUGUGUUGUGUGUUAAACGAAAACAAUUGAAAACUGCGAACUGCAUAAAUUGUUGCAAUCGUGUUGUUCGCCAAUUUGCGACGGCAAAAGUUUUGUGACCUUUUUACGAAAGGAAAUUGCAUUUUGCAGCUUGCAGUUUGCACUUUCGAAUUUGCAAUUUCGACAUUUUGACAAUUUUGUCCAUUUGUGUGAGGGCCGCAAAAUUUUGUGCUUAAAUGCUGAAGCGGCUGUUAAGCUUUUAGUCGAUUGUCGCCUUCGGAGAGGCAACGCCAACGCCUUUGGGCCACAAGCUGCAAAUGCUGGUUGACUGGCACAUUUCUCUCAAAUUUACCAAAAAGGCGACCGCAGGCAAAAGUUGAGGCACCAGCAACAACAACAACAGCAGCAACAACAACUACGACGACGACAACAGCAAUAGCUGCAACAACAACUUGUACAGCAGCAACAUGUUGCACUCGUGCACUCGCCCAAGCAAUUUGCAUACAAAUGUUGCCGUGUGGCACUUGAAAAUGCAAUCGCUGUCACUAAAAGGAAAACGGGCUGAGCCAGCCUGAGUCCCAACCAGAGGCUGCUACAGGGCCCGGCAGCAGCAGCAGCAGCAGCAGCUGGCGAGGCUGCCGUUUCAUAAUUUGAUAUUAAACAUGCGCCCCGUAUGUAGAACUUGUAAAUUUGCAAAUUGCUAAAACGCAUGACAGGCGCAGAACGAAGGCAGCUGCCUGAUUCUUUUGCUGCCCUCCUCCCCUUCUCGCUUCCCCUGCCUGUCCUACUUCUUGCACCUUUCUCUCAGUCCGAAUGCUGUGCCACACAGUUCAAAAGGCAUUUUGCCCGCCAGCGCUGCGUGAAUUUGCAUUUACAUGGCUCUACCCAAACCCAAACCCAAAUCGAAAGCCAAACCCGCUUAGUGGCAGCAAGAAGUUAAAUGCAGCCACGCCCCAGCCCGCACAGUGCCCACAAAACGUCGCUCAAUUGACUUUCAAUUGCAAAACAAACGCAACACAAAGCAGUCGAAAAACAAAGCAAAAAAACAAACCAGAACAAAAAGCAGCUGAAUUUAUUUCAAUUUUUUGUUUUCGUUUUUUGCCAUUGACUGGGUUAUGAUAUGUUGAUUUCCAAGUGCGCAUAUAGUAUAUGAUUGACAUACUCAUGUUGUCCGAUCAAUUGAACGCCUGCGAGUGGAUGUGGAAGCAGCCAAGUGUUUAUUUUGCAAUUUUUUUUGUUUAAAAUUUUAUUUCUUAAAGAUUUGUUAAUAUUACACUUGGCAGCGUUAUACAAAUUAUGAGUCUCAAGUGUGCUCACGCUUUUCUUAACGGAAGAGUGUCUCGAGAUUUGGCUUAAAAGCAAAAGGUAAGCCCAUGAGACUGGCUGAUAGUACUUGAAAUAUCUGAAGAAUUCUUUUUUAAGUUUUUGCCAAAUUUAGAAAUAAUAAUCAGAUUAUACAUUUUCUACAUCUCUCUAUCUCUCUCUCUCUGACUUGUUUUUCUCUAAUUUUCUCAAAUUGUGAAGCUCAAGUGUUUUCUCACUUGACACAAUAAAGUCAACCCAUAAGACUGGCAGAUGAACUUGGAAUAUCCGAUAUUUAAUAAUAUUUUCCUAUAGAAAAAGUAACAACUAACUAGUUUUUUCUCUCGCUCUCUCUAAUUAGUUUGUCCCCAGUUUUCUCCUACUUGUUCUAAUUUGCGAAAGCAGUUUCAAAUUAGUAACAUUUCAUUUGUUUAUGAUUUAUAUAAACUUAGGCGCAGUUGCCACCUCUGACCACUUGUAAUUAAGAGCGUCGUGUAAACGGAUAAAUUUGAUAUUUGGGGGUCCUUUUCGGUUUGUGCCAACAGGCGGUAAAACUUUGUUACUAUUCAAGCAGAGCUCCAGUAAUUUUUUCAACCUAAAAAGCACGCAAUUAGCCAUUAAUCAUUUUUAUGAGACAUUUCUGCAAAAGGAAACACAACACAAACAGACGAAUAUUUAAUAGUCACGCAACGUGGCAAAGGCACAGAUCGCAUUGAGGGGCAACCAAAACAUGGCUAAAAAGCAAGAAAAGGAUAGCAAUAAGGUCAAGGCAGCCGCUUCGCUCGCACCAGCACGUGCGUGCUGCUUGUGGAAAAUGUCAAUCUAAUGGAAAACAAUAAUCAAUAGGCCAUACUGUAAGGAACAGGACAAGGACCCAGUACCAACUGUCAGACAGUUGAGCAAGCAGAAGAAAAACAUACAACACACAAAGUCGUCGAGGAAGUUGCGCCCAGGACGAUAAGAGACGUGUGUGUGUGUGUGCGCGCAUGUGUGUGCGGCAUGUGUGUUACGCACCCCCACAGGCUUCACAGUCAUAUGUGUAUAUGUAUGAAUGUGCUUGUGUGUGCACUUUUCUGGGUAGUUCAUAACUUUUGUGACUUUUAUCGUGGCUGUUUGUGGUGGUUUCUUGGCCCAGAGCCGAGCAGGACUCACAGUUGGACUGCCAUGUUUUUGCCUGGCCCCGUACACGCCUGUGUUUAUACACUCACACACAUUUGUAGGCGUCGCCCAGACGCUCUGUCUCGCUUGCACCCGCACAGUCUGGAAACUGUGCCAAAAACUUUGGCAAAGAACUUGCCAACUGACACACAUGCCACGAACCGUUGCAACAAAAAGCGGCUAAAAACCGUGGUACAUGCAUAAACAGCUCUAGUUUAUCGUAUACGCAAUUUUUAGCGGGUUUUUAAUUUUAGAAUACCCGCAACUCACGGCGCGAUUCAACGAGAUCGUUCAAUCUUAUCAGCGCCCACAAUAAUCGCACAUGGUGUGGCCCGCGGCUUGACAUCGCCGCUCGAUGAGCAAUUGAAAAGCAAUCGGCAACCGUUGCGAAAUUUAAAUGAUGUCAGACCUGGGUCGGCAACGACCGAUACUGUCGUUGAUAGUCCACGCCCAAGUAGCCCAGGCAGACAUCAAAACCCUAUAGAAAGCGAGACGAUAGAGUCAGAGAGAAAACUAACGACCUAUCUGCAUAUACAAGUCAUUAGCCGGUGCGUAGGAUGCCUCACAGCUGAUUUAUGUCGUAGGCUCCCAUUGAAAUUCAUGAGUGAUCAACAAGAAUUAUAUUCAAAGUGAAAACAUAAUAGCCAACACAACAUAUCUACAACAAAUUUUUGAAAAUGAAUACAUGAAAAAAAUGAAGUCAGCUUGGUCAUAGAGUUUGUGCUCAGCUAAAGAAUACCCUGUAGUCAUUAGACUUAUGCAAGCCAAUAACAAUUCCAUUUAAAGGAUAAUUUAAAACUUCGGGUAUCAAUAUAUCGUAUAUUAUUUUCUAUUUCAACUUCAAAAUUUAGUUCAAGAAAAAUCCAAAUCAUAUUCCACAUCUAAAAAGGAAAGUUAAAAAAUUUUAUGUAAGAUAGAGAUUACGACCUAAUAUCAAAUUUUCUCAUUUUCAAGUUUAUUUUUGGAUAAUCAACUUUUUUCUGUUAAGCCUUUGCCUCAUUUGUGUCUAGUGAAAAAAACUAAAACGCCCUUUAGGUGUUUUCUGCCCAGAGUAUGAAGAGGCAACCAAAACGGGGCGUGUUACGAGCAAUGAAAAUGUGUGGCCGUUGUGGCUUUGGCUGCACCUACGCGUCGGCUCAAAUUUAUAUAUAUGGGGAAACAAUCGUAGAGCAUAUACAUACAUGAUGUCGCCCUACACGUUAGCAUAUAAAACAAAUUAUAAUUUAUUUUAUA
Drosophila virilis is the source of this 8479-nucleotide non-coding RNA. Lineage: Eukaryota; Metazoa; Arthropoda; Insecta; Diptera; Drosophilidae. The record is from RefSeq and is a predicted model, not a curated record.